UACAACAUCAAAGGUAAUAAUUAAAUUGUUAUAAAAAUAUAUUUGUAUAUGACUCUUUGCGAAUUGUUGAGAUACAGUACUAUUACAGAGCAGAAAUCUUAAUGCCAUAAGUCAGCAUUGCUACUACAAAGCAUAAUAAAUCUCCAAGCCAAAAUCAACAUUCAAAAGAAACCUAUCAGAUUUGAGAAGUUCAAAUCAUUACUCCCAAAAUUUUGGGGAGCAUUCUUCUCUUGAAUCUGGGUUUGGGUUUGAAUCUAGGUUUGUACUUCAGAAAAGUCACCCACCUUGACUUUUUGGGGCCUCGUAUGAUGUUCUUUCGUUCAAAUUUGAUCUGAAGCAUUUAAGUCGAAUUAUUCAAUCGAUAAACGCGUGAGAAUUAGAGGUUGCUUCCAAGAUUUACAGAGUUUGUCGACAAAAACGUAAGAGAUUUGUAACAGAAUUGGAAGAUUUAAUGAAACACAAUGAAAUUCAAAAUUGAAGAGUUUUAAUAAAUUGAAAUGAGAAUUCUUACCAAACUUUUGACGAAUUUAUGGGAUGUGAUUGACGGAACUCAACAACCGGUAGAAAAAUGAGCUGAAAUUGGGAAUAGAUUUUAAUUUGGGAACAAAGAUA
RNAcentral lists this long non-coding RNA (612 nucleotides) under Gossypium barbadense (sea-island cotton). RNAcentral describes it as "long non-coding RNA (GBAR_LNC015390)". The record is from RNAcentral. Lineage: Eukaryota; Viridiplantae; Streptophyta; Magnoliopsida; Malvales; Malvaceae.